UGCAGUCGAGCGGAGAAAUGGGAGCUUGCUCCCAUUUCUCAGCGGCGGACGGGUGAGUAACACGUGGGCAACCUGCCCUGCAGACUGGGAUAACUCCGGGAAACCGGAGCUAAUACCGGGUAAUACAUAGCAUCGCAUGGUGCAACGUUGAAAGUUGGCCUUUGGCUAACACUGCAGGAUGGGCCCGCGGCGCAUUAGCUAGUUGGUAAGGUAACGGCUUACCAAGGCCACGAUGCGUAGCCGACCUGAGAGGGUGAUCGGCCACACUGGGACUGAGACACGGCCCAGACUCCUACGGGAGGCAGCAGUAGGGAAUCUUCCGCAAUGGACGAAAGUCUGACGGAGCAACGCCGCGUGAGUGACGAAGGCCUUCGGGUCGUAAAGCUCUGUUGUUAGGGAAGAACAAGUACCGUUCGAAUAGGGCGGUACCUUGACGGUACCUAACCAGAAAGCCACGGCUAACUACGUGCCAGCAGCCGCGGUAAUACGUAGGUGGCAAGCGUUGUCCGGAAUUAUUGGGCGUAAAGCGCGCGCAGGCGGUCUCUUAAGUCUGAUGUGAAAGCCCACGGCUCAACCGUGGAGGGCCAUUGGAAACUGGGGGACUUGAGUGCAGAAGAGGAGAGUGGAAUUCCACGUGUAGCGGUGAAAUGCGUAGAUAUGUGGAGGAACACCAGUGGCGAAGGCGGCUCUCUGGUCUGUAACUGACGCUGAGGCGCGAAAGCGUGGGGAGCAAACAGGAUUAGAUACCCUGGUAGUCCACGCCGUAAACGAUGAGUGCUAGGUGUUGGGGGCUUCCACCCUCAGUGCUGAAGUUAACACAUUAAGCACUCCGCCUGGGGAGUACGACCGCAAGGUUGAAACUCAAAGGAAUUGACGG
This 877-nucleotide ribosomal RNA is filed under the name Guptibacillus algicola. Its description in RNAcentral is "bacterial SSU rRNA". It matches the Rfam family "Bacterial small subunit ribosomal RNA", at positions 56 to 916 of the family's 1533-position model. The record is from RNAcentral. Lineage: Bacteria; Bacillati; Bacillota; Bacilli; Caryophanales; Guptibacillaceae.